Non-coding RNA from Ixodes scapularis (black-legged tick), 82 nucleotides. The record is from Rfam. NCBI's taxonomy places the organism in Eukaryota, Metazoa, Arthropoda, Arachnida, Ixodida, Ixodidae.
GCAGUCGUGGCCGAGUGGUUAAGGCGGUGGACUAGAAAUCUAUUGGGGUCUUCCCGCACAGGUUCGAAUCCUGUCGACUGCG